Molecule: unclassified non-coding RNA, 347 nt
Filed under: soil metagenome
Description: partial contains 5.8S ribosomal RNA, internal transcribed spacer 2, and large subunit ribosomal RNA
Rfam family: 5.8S ribosomal RNA (bases 1-120)
Source: RNAcentral
GAUGAAGAACGCAGCGAAAUGCGAUAAGUAAUGUGAAUUGCAGAAUUCCGUGAAUCAUCGAAUCUUUGAACGCAUAUUGCGCCCUCUGGCAUUCCGGGGGGCAUGCCUGUCCGAGCGUCAUUGCUGCCCUCAAGCACGGCUUGUGUGUUGGGCCCCGUCCUCCGAUCCCGGGGGACGGGCCCGAAAGGCAGCGGCGGCACCGCGUCCGGUCCUCGAGCGUAUGGGGCUUUGUCACCCGCUCUGUAGGCCCGGCCGGCGCUUGCCGAUCAACCCAAAUUUUUUAUCCAGGUUGACCUCGGAUCAGGUAGGGAUACCCGCUGAACUUAAGCAUAUCAAUAAGCGGAGGA